GUGGGGGAUAUUGCACAAUGGGGGAAACCCUGAUGCAGCGAUGCCGCGUGGAGGAAGAAGGUUUUCGGAUUGUAAACUCCUGUCGUGAAGGACGAUAAUGACGGUACUUCAUGAGGAAGCUCCGGCUAACUAUGUGCCAGCAGCCGCGGUAAUACAUAGGGAGCGAGCGUUAUCCGGAAUUACUGGGUGUAAAGGGAGCGUAGGCGGGAAUGCAAGUCAGAUGUGAAAACCAAGGGCUUAACCUUUGGACUGCAUUUGAAACUGUGUUUCUUGAGUGAAGUAGAGGCAAGCGGAAUUCCUGGUGUAGCGGUGAAAUGCGUAGAUAUCAGGAGGAACAUCGGUGGCGAAGGCGGCUUGCUGGGCUUUUACUGACGCUGAGGCUCGAAAGCGUGGGGAGCAAACAGGAUUAGAAACCCUAGUAGUCC
Molecule: ribosomal RNA, 425 nt
Filed under: uncultured bacterium
Lineage: Bacteria
Description: bacterial SSU rRNA
Rfam family: Bacterial small subunit ribosomal RNA
Source: RNAcentral